Molecule: ribosomal RNA, 155 nt
Filed under: Ompok pabo (Pabo catfish)
Lineage: Eukaryota; Metazoa; Chordata; Actinopteri; Siluriformes; Siluridae
Description: partial 5.8S ribosomal RNA
Source: RNAcentral
UCUAACAUUUGGAAAUAGGGAGAGCCUGGGAAUACCAGGUGCUGUAAGCUUUACUUUUUUCGUCAAUUGAUCUAAUAUACUGCAGAAGGGUGGCUGAUCUUUAAAUAGCCCACACUUUGCAGCAGCCCUCGCUUACGGCCAUACCAGCCUAGAAA